RNAcentral lists this ribosomal RNA (253 nucleotides) under uncultured bacterium. RNAcentral describes it as "partial 16S ribosomal RNA". It matches the Rfam family "Bacterial small subunit ribosomal RNA", at positions 524 to 776 of the family's 1533-position model. The record is from RNAcentral.
UACGAAGGGGGCUAGCGUUGCUCGGAAUCACUGGGCGUAAAGGGUGCGUAGGCGGGUCUUUAAGUCAGGGGUGAAAUCCUGGAGCUCAACUCCAGAACUGCCUUUGAUACUGGAUGGCUUGAGUUCGGGAGAGGGAUGCGGAAUUCCAGGUGUAGCGGUGAAAUGCGUAGAUAUCUGGAGGAACACCGGUGGCGAAGGCGGCAUCCUGGACCGACACUGACACUGAGGAGCGAAAGCCAGGGGAGCAAACGGG